This 253-nucleotide ribosomal RNA is filed under the name uncultured bacterium. RNAcentral describes it as "partial 16S ribosomal RNA". It matches the Rfam family "Bacterial small subunit ribosomal RNA", at positions 524 to 776 of the family's 1533-position model. The record is from RNAcentral.
UACAGAGGGGGCAAGCGUUAUUCGGAAUUAUUGGGCGUAAAGGGCGCGUAGGCGGCCGUGCAAGUGGAAGGUGAAAUCCCUCGGCCUAACCGAGGAACUGCGCUUGAAACUACCAGACUCGAGGGAGAUAGAGGAAAGCGGAACUGAUGGUGGAGCGGUGAAAUGCGUUGAUAUCAUCAGGAACACCGGUGGCGAAGGCGGCUUUCUGGGUCUUACCUGACGCUGAGGAACGAAAGCCAGGGGAGCGAACGGG